AAGGAUCAUUACAGAGCCCACGGCCGCGUGGGGGCCCGUCCGCCCGCGGGCGGGUCAACCCGGCCACGGCCCCCGACACCUGCCUACCCUCACCGGUUGCCUCGGCGCGAACGCCCGGCCCCAGCGGCCGCGCGCGUCCGCCGCCGGGCCGCGAAGCAGAAACCUUUCAGUGUGGCCGUCUGAGUGAACCACGAAAUACCUAAAACUUUCAACAACGGAUCUCUUGGUUCCG
This 232-nucleotide unclassified non-coding RNA is filed under the name uncultured fungus. RNAcentral's name for it is "partial contains 18S rRNA, ITS1, 5.8S rRNA, ITS2 and 28S rRNA". The record is from RNAcentral. Lineage: Eukaryota; Fungi.